GAAGUAAAAGUCGUAACAAGGUCUCCGUUGGUGAACCAGCGGAGGGAUCAUUACCGAGUUAUACAACUCCCAAACCCACUGUGAACCUUACCUCAGUUGCCUCGGCGGGAACGCCCCGGCCGCCUGCCCCCGCGCCGGCGCCGGACCCAGGCGCCCGCCGCAGGGACCCCAAACUCUCUUGCAUUACGCCCAGCGGGCGGAAUUUCUUCUCUGAGUUGCACAAGCAAAAACAAAUGAAUCAAAACUUUCAACAACGGAUCUCUUGGUUCUGGCAUCGAUGAAGAACGCAGCGAAAUGCGAUAAGUAAUGUGAAUUGCAGAAUUCAGUGAAUCAUCGAAUCUUUGAACGCACAUUGCGCCCGCCAGCAUUCUGGCGGGCAUGCCUGUUCGAGCGUCAUUUCAACCCUCGAGCCCCCCCCGGGGGCCUCGGUGUUGGGGGACGGCACACCAGCCGCCCCCGAAAUGCAGUGGCGACCCCGCCGCAGCCUCCCCUGCGUAGUAGCACACACCUCGCACCGGAGCGCGGAGGCGGUCACGCCGUAAAACGCCCAACUUUCUUAGAGUUGACCUCGGAUCAGGUAGGAAUACCCGC
RNAcentral lists this ribosomal RNA (591 nucleotides) under Purpureocillium lilacinum. Its description in RNAcentral is "eukaryotic LSU rRNA". The stretch from base 243 to 396 matches the Rfam family "5.8S ribosomal RNA". The record is from RNAcentral. Lineage: Eukaryota; Fungi; Ascomycota; Sordariomycetes; Hypocreales; Ophiocordycipitaceae.